UACGUAGGGGGCUAGCGUUGUCCGGAAUCAUUGGGCGUAAAGCGCGUGUAGGCGGUUCGGUAAGUCCGCUGUGAAAGUCGGGGGCUCAACCCUCGGAUGCCGGUGGAUACUGUCGGACUAGAGUACGGAAGAGGCGAGUGGAAUUCCUGGUGUAGCGGUGAAAUGCGCAGAUAUCAGGAGGAACACCGAUUGCGAAGGCAGCUCGCUGGGACGCUACUGACGCUGAGACGCGAAAGCGUGGGGAGCAAACAGG
RNAcentral lists this ribosomal RNA (253 nucleotides) under uncultured bacterium. RNAcentral describes it as "partial 16S ribosomal RNA". It matches the Rfam family "Bacterial small subunit ribosomal RNA", at positions 524 to 776 of the family's 1533-position model. The record is from RNAcentral.